AAAACUUUUAAAUUAGUCCAGAGAGGCUAGUAAGGGUAUAUAUGGGAUAAGUGUAUUUUUAUGGAUAGAGACCCUACCUUACUGCGCCUUGUCAGUAAGGUUUUUUUAUU
The sequence is a regulatory RNA element, 110 nucleotides long. It matches the Rfam family "PyrR binding site". From Rfam's summary of the family: This family represents the PyrR binding site and terminator structure. This RNA structure is found upstream of a variety of genes involved in pyrimidine biosynthesis and transport. The record is from Rfam.